RNAcentral lists this long non-coding RNA (766 nucleotides) under Equus asinus (donkey). Its description in RNAcentral is "lncRNA (ENSEASG00005030110.1)". Lineage: Eukaryota; Metazoa; Chordata; Mammalia; Perissodactyla; Equidae. The record is from RNAcentral.
CAGUGUUCAUGCUGGGUCAUUGUGUAUCAGGCCAGGCCGGCCCAAGGAUUGUUUGAUUCCUUAAAGAAGUGUAUUAUUCCGGCCUUGAUAUAAUGACUUUAAAAAUAGAUUUAUUCUAUUCAUAAUUCAUUCAAGAAGAGAUGGUGCCUGAGUUCCACGAAUGUGAAAAUUGGACCAUGGUAUUGCUGCCACCUUGUGGGAGAGUGAAAGAACUUCAAGAGACUGUUCUCUCCCCAGACUCCUUAGCACCCUCUGAUUCCAGCAUUCGUGCAUUUGUGCAUCCUUUCAUCCAGCAUUUACUCUGUGCUAGGCCCUGGCUAGACCCUGGGGACAUAAGAAAGUAAGACACAAUUUGUAUCCUCAAGGUAUGCAGAAUGCAGAUGUCCAGACACAAUGUGUUGUUACAAUAUUGUCCCGGGGAGAGCGCCCUUCUUGGGGGUGGGAUAAUGGAGGUACCCAAAAGACUUUCCCAAAGAGGCAUAAUCCAAAGAUUCAUAGAGAGUCAGACUGACUCCAUUCUGUGGUUUUCUGUUGUGAAAAUAAUUUCCUAGGUGGGAUUUUUCUGCCCAUUGCUGCUCAUUUCUUCCCAACAGUGCAAAAGGAGAUGAGGGAAGAUACAAUGCCGACCAGUAGCAGAAUCUCAGAGACCACAUGGAAUAUCUUUUUGCCUCUCUAGAUACAUUCUCCAACCACCUUCAUUCUCUGUUCCCCAGAGGGCUGCCCAGUGUGGGCUGCCUCUGUUCUUCUCUUGCACACUGACUUCCAG